RNAcentral lists this ribosomal RNA (434 nucleotides) under uncultured bacterium. RNAcentral describes it as "bacterial SSU rRNA". It matches the Rfam family "Bacterial small subunit ribosomal RNA", at positions 29 to 510 of the family's 1533-position model. The record is from RNAcentral.
AGCGAACGCUGGCGGCAGGCCUAACACAUGCAAGUCGAGCGCCCAGCAAUGGGAGCGGCAGACGGGAUAGUAACACGUGGGAACGUACCUUUCAGUUCGGAACAACCCAGGGAAACUUGGGCUAAUACCGAAUACGUCCGUAAGGAGAAAGAUUUAUCGCUGAAAGAUCGGCCCGCGUCUGAUUAGCUAGUUGGUGAGGUAACGGCUCACCAAGGCGACGAUCAGUAGCNGGUCUGAGAGGAUGAUCAGCCACAUUGGGACUGAGACACGGCCCAAACUCCUACGGGAGGCAGCAGUGGGAAUAUUGGACAAUGGGCGAAAGCCUGAUCCAGCCAUGCCGCGUGAGUGAUGAAGGCCCUAGGGUUGUAAAGCUCUUUUGUGCGGGAAGAUAAUGACGGUACCGCAAGAAUAACGCCCCGGCUAACUUCGUGCCA